UACGUAGGUGGUAAGCGUUAUCCGGAUUUAUUGGGCGUAAAGGGAACGCAGGCGGUCUUUUAAGUCUGAUGUGAAAGCCUUCGGCUUAACCGGAGUAGUGCAUUGGAAACUGGGAGACUUGAGUGCAGAAGAGGAGAGUGGAACUCCAUGUGUGGCGGUGAAAUGCGUAGAUAUAUGGAAGAACACCAGUGGCGAAAGCGGCUCUCUGGUCUGUAACUGACGCUGAGGUUCGAAAGCGUGGGUAGCAAACAGG
RNAcentral lists this ribosomal RNA (253 nucleotides) under uncultured bacterium. RNAcentral describes it as "partial 16S ribosomal RNA". It matches the Rfam family "Bacterial small subunit ribosomal RNA", at positions 524 to 776 of the family's 1533-position model. The record is from RNAcentral.